Mya arenaria is the source of this 1713-nucleotide long non-coding RNA. RefSeq lists it as uncharacterized. Lineage: Eukaryota; Metazoa; Mollusca; Bivalvia; Myida; Myidae. The transcript is spliced from 3 exons. The record is from RefSeq and is a predicted model, not a curated record.
CAACUCUGCACCACAGGUAUCCCAACAGUGGCAUAUGUCGGUCAUUUACGCCGUAGCUGGAACAAUUAUAUUUCUACUUGUAGCUACGUUGAUUCCUCUUCUAUUUAGGCGAUGCAAACCUCAUGUUUAUGCAACGCUUCAACGCCAAAGGACAACUGCAGUUAGAGAGCCAGUUACACAUGUGUAUGAUACUGUGCAGUCUAAUCUUGAGCCAACUGUCUAUUACAAUCUGAGAGGAGGGUCAGCAAGUGGUAUCGAGAUUACAAAAGCACCUCAACAUUUGGAGAGUGAAGGAUACAAACGUUCAAAUGAAAAUGAAUGUCAUUAUGACUAUGUGGACCCACCAUCCAACCACAGCGACAGUGAGACAAACGGGCCGGGUGCAAAUUAUAUUCACCCUCUAUAAAACUAUUUGUGAGUAAAACAUUUUGCUAUAUAGUCUGAUUUAUAUCUUUUGAAAAUCCUAUAAUCAUACUUGUUACGCUAACCAUUUCAAGGCGUUUAUGGUUUAUACAAUAUAAUGAGAAUGUACUUAAUGGUGUGUAUUAGUUUGAAACAUGACAGCUUUGCAGAUAUAAACGUGUAUAUGUAAACAAGUUUAUACUUAUGCAAAUUAGUUUGCACAAAUAUAAAUUAAUUCACCAAUCAUUAAUUGGAUAUACGUUACCCAAAAUAAAACUGGUUUAACUAUGAAACUGGUUUAACUAUAUGCUAUUUUUUCAGCUCAAUUGCAAAGACAGCUUUAGCUGUUACCCAUCACACUUGACUCAGUUUCAUGAUUAUAAACCAGUUGUCUUUGUUGAGAGACCGAAUUAUCUUAUCCUACCUCUGGUAGAACACGAAAACACAGCCUCUUGGGUUCGAGUUGGACACCUUUAUCGUUAAACCAUUUUCAUCCUGUUGUAUUUUCAAUUAUUCAUAUUUAAUAUAGUUAAUACGAAGUUGUACUGAGUAUGAAAACCUCGGAAAUGACUCAGAUAAUAUAAAACAUUUGACAUGGUUGAGUAUCUACGGAAGUUGGCUUAACACUAUAUAGCUGCCUUUUUAAAAUGAUUGAAUGAAUGAAUGAAUGAUUAAAAUAUAUUGUAUUUUCCUAUUCGCAAAGAUACGUUUGAGGAGCUUACGAAUUUGUAACGUGUACGUGUACGCAUAGCGUUCCAUAUUUUUACUCACUUCCUCGUGUCAUGUUACAUGAGAUUCCACAUUUGUACAAUGUACACAUAUAAUGAUGACGUAGCACACAGACAAGUAUCCAACAUGAACACGCCCCUGUACCAGAAGGGUUUUGCAACCUCUAAUGAUUUAACGGUGACUUCAAGGCCCACAUGACCAGUUGGUGUUGUCAUCAUAUAGGAUUACAUAAUAUUAAAUGUUAACGUGUAAACCUAAUUAUUUAAAUGUUAACUUUUCGUUUUCGAAAAGCGUGACAACAAUUUGAAGAAUGGUUGGUUAACCAUAUGUAAAACAAUCACGCUUUAAAUGCAUUUGUUUCCUCCUUUUUGUACUAUGAUCAUAUCAUUGUUAAUUUAUUUCCCGUAUGAGUGCAUAGUUUCGAAAACUGUUUUAGACGAGUUAUAUUACUAGUUGAAUGUCAAAUUACUGUUGACUUGUACAUUUGAAGAAUCAGGAUGCCGUUGUAAUAUAUUAUGAUGAUUUUAUAUGUUAAACAUAAUUGUGUGUCAAAUUGGUCAUUUAAGCGGACAUUUGCACGAA